GGGGCAGCGGUGGUGAAGGCUUGCCUUUACCAGCCGGCGACCGGCGCACGGGUGAGUAACACGUAUGCAACCUGCCUGCCACAGCCGGAUAAUCGGGAGAAGUUCCGUCUAAUACGGCAUAAUGCAUCGACGGGACAUCCUGUUGGUGCCAAAGGUUGAUUCCGGUGGCGGAUGGGCAUGCGUCGCAUUAGUUAGUUGGCGGUGUAACGGACCACCAAGACGACGAUGCGUAGGGGUUCUGAGAGGAAGGUCCCCCACACUGGUACUGAGACACGGACCAGACUCCUACGGGAGGCAGCAGUGAGGAAUAUUGGUCAAUGGGCGGGAGCCUGAACCAGCCAAGUCGCGUGAGGGAUGACGGCCCUAUGGGUUGUAAACCUCUUUUGCCGGGGAGCAAAGUGCCGCACGUGUGCGGUUUGGAGAGUACCCGGAGAAAAAGCAUCGGCUAACUCCGUGCCAGCAGCCGCGGUAAUACGGAGGAUGCGAGCGUUAUCCGGAUUUAUUGGGUUUAAAGGGUGCGUAGGCGGACGCUUAAGUCAGCGGUAAAAUUGCGGGGCUCAACCUCGUCGAGCCGUUGAAACUGGGUGCCUUGAGUGGGCGAGAAGUACGCGGAAUGCGUGGUGUAGCGGUGAAAUGCAUAGAUAUCACGCAGAACUCCGAUUGCGAAGGCAGCGUACCGGCGCCCAACUGACGCUGAAGCACGAAGGCGUGGGUAUCCUUUAAGGUUAGAUACCUUGGUAGUCCACGCGGUAAACGGAUGAAUGCUAGUUGUCCGGGGCGAUUGAGUUUUGGGUGACACAGCGAAAGCGUUAAGCUUUCCACUUGGGGAGUACGCCGGCAACGGUGAAACUCAAAGGAAUUGACGGGGGCCCGCACAAGCGGAGGAACAUGUGGUUUAAUUCGAUGAUACGCGAGGAACCUUACCCGGGCUCAAACGCAGGAGGGAUGUUUUUGAAAGGAGGCAGCCAGCAAUGGUCUCCUGCGAGGUGCUGCAUGGUUGUCGUCAGCUCGUGCCGUGAGGUGUCGGCUUAAGUGCCAUAACGAGCGCAACCCCUACCUACAGUUGCCAUCGCGUGAUGGCGGGCACUCUGUGGGGACUGCCUGCGCAAGCAGUGAGGAAGGCGGGGAUGACGUCAAAUCAGCACGGCCCUUACGUCCGGGGCGACACAUGUGUUACAAUGGCAGGUACAGCGGGAAGCCACCCGGCGACGGGGCGCGGAACCCGAAAACCUGUCUCAGUUCGGAUUGGAGUCUGCAACCCGACUCCAUGAAGCUGGAUUCGCUAGUAAUCG
Molecule: ribosomal RNA, 1292 nt
Filed under: uncultured bacterium
Lineage: Bacteria
Description: bacterial SSU rRNA
Rfam family: Bacterial small subunit ribosomal RNA
Source: RNAcentral